UGCCGCGUGCUGUGUAGAAGGCCUUUUGGUUGUAAAGCACUUUAAGCGAGGAGGAGGCUACCGAGACUAAUACUCUUGGAUAGUGGACGUUACUCGCAGAAUAAGCACCGGCUAACUCUGUGCCAGCAGCCGCGGUAAUACAGAGGGUGCGAGCGUUAAUCGGAUUUACUGGGCGUAAAGCGUGCGUAGGCGGCUGAUUAAGUCGGAUGUGAAAUCCCUGAGCUUAACUUAGGAAUUGCAUUCGAUACUGGUCAGCUAGAGUAUGGGAGAGGAUGGUAGAAUUCCAGGUGUAGCGGUGAAAUGCGUAGAGAUCUGGAGGAAUACCGAUGGCGAAGGCAGCCAUCUGGCCUAAUACUGACGCUGAGGUACGAAAGCAUGGGGAGCAAACAGGAUUAGAUACCCUGGUAGUCCAUGCCGAAAACGAUGUCUACUAGCCGUUGGGGCCUUUGAGGCUUUAGUGGCGCAGCUAACGCGAUAAGUAGACCGCCUGGGGAGUACGGUCGCAAGACUAAAACUCAAAUGAAUUGACGGGGGCCCGCACAAGCGGUGGAGCAUGUGGUUUAAUUCGAUGCAACGCGAAGAACCUUACCUGGUCUUGACAUAGUAAGAAACUUUCCAGA
Molecule: ribosomal RNA, 620 nt
Filed under: Acinetobacter sp. Ri1Ps_4842
Lineage: Bacteria; Pseudomonadati; Pseudomonadota; Gammaproteobacteria; Moraxellales; Moraxellaceae
Description: bacterial SSU rRNA
Rfam family: Bacterial small subunit ribosomal RNA
Source: RNAcentral